GAAGUACAGAUUGAGAAGAACUGUGAUCUAGGUCAUUUGUUUGGUUAAGGUGUGAUUGACAGGUUGAGACCGGAAGUGUGUGCAUGUGUUGUGGGGGAAAACUUGACAGAGAAAAAAAGCGGGACUACGACAAGAAAAAGCACAGCGGACACGCAUGGCUGCGAGUGUGAAAGUCUACAGCGAUAACAGUUAAGUGUAGUUUUCAGUGUCCAAGAGACUGUCUGCUCGACACUCGGAACCCGGACAUAGAAGCUACUGCUAUUUAGUGUACAGCUUGAGAAGUUUCAGCUCGGAACUCCUGUCGAAGCUGCACUGUUAUUAGCUUAGCCCAGCUACUGAGCUAACUCGUAGUGUGUUGUUAGCAUUCGCUAUCAAAGCGAACGGACUUAGCCGUGAGGAGCUAAACCAGCUUCUGCUAUCGGCUGUGCCUGUGGUCUCAGCACGGGAGCACGAGGAUUCGGAUCGGCCGCUGCCAGUGUGUGUGACUUGUCAUCGUUGGAGGCUGCCAGUGUGUGUGACUCGUCGUCGGACCCGGACUGCCAGGGACGCUCCAUCACCUGCACACCGGCCUGUCUUCAAUCCACCUGCAGUGUCGUCUUCAGGACUCGGACCGGGCAUCCUACAAAUCAGCUGUUUGGAGGCGAAGCUGAUGAUGGACCGGUCCUCUCUACCCCGAUCAGCUUCACCGGAAUGACCUACGAAACAAAACCAAGCAGGACUGACAAGGUCUUCUCAUUGGAAUUUCUAUGUCAACACCCAAGAACAAAAGGCAACGACAAGAAAAGGUGGUCCUCAUUCACAGCUGGUAUUAACAUACAGUCAGUAUCUGGAAAUCGUAUCUGGAUGAAUAAAUAAAAAAAAAAAAAAAACAUGUUGAUGCAGAUGAAUGCACACAGAACACACUGUGGAAUUUUGAUGUUAUGAAAUUGACCCGACCAGAUUCAGGGACAAUAUUAUGAUCAGAUGUCAUCAAGGUGUGAAUGCAAUCUGUGCAGCAUGGCCGCACUUUUUCCAGACAAAAAUCUGACCAACAUGUUUAAAUAUGUCACUUGUGUCUCAGCCAGCUCCACCUACCUAAUUUUCAUAUUCAAGGACAAUCUCAAUGGCUGUAUCCAAAAUCAAUGAUAAAAGGAUGGACUUCACAGUGACUCUGAGCCACAGAAUAUAUUUAAAGUGACGUUUGGGUCGUGACGUAUCACAUUUUAUGGAGGCAAUAAUGAUUCAGGCCAUGCCACACUUGUGAAUGAUGCAACAGAAUUAUGAUGAUUACUAAGUAUCCAUACAUAUAUUCAAUUAUUAAUCACUGUCUAUAUCUGGGAGUGAUUUCAGCCAAAGCAAAUAUAGAGUAGAAAUAAUAAGAGCACUUUUCAAUACCAGGUAAAAAUGCCAAGUCCCAUCCUCACGUGGUUUCCAGUUAACAUCCAGACUCAAAUAAAAUACGUAUUUAUAACAGGUGCAAACGGAGUCUUUAGUUUUUCAAUUCCCCUGCCAGAGUAUAAUAUUAAAGUCAUCAGCAUUUUUGAUCACUAAUCUCUCA
This is a long non-coding RNA of Seriola aureovittata, 1537 nucleotides long. RefSeq lists it as uncharacterized. The transcript is spliced from 3 exons. Lineage: Eukaryota; Metazoa; Chordata; Actinopteri; Carangiformes; Carangidae. The record is from RefSeq and is a predicted model, not a curated record.